RNAcentral lists this ribosomal RNA (492 nucleotides) under uncultured bacterium. RNAcentral's name for it is "partial 16S ribosomal RNA". It matches the Rfam family "Bacterial small subunit ribosomal RNA", at positions 29 to 507 of the family's 1533-position model. The record is from RNAcentral.
AGUGAACGCUGGCGGUAGGCCUAACACAUGCAAGUCGAACGGCAGCACAGUAAGAGCUUGCUCUUACGGGUGGCGAGUGGCGGACGGGUGAGGAAUACAUCGGAAUCUACUUUUUCGUGGGGGAUAACGUAGGGAAACUUACGCUAAUACCGCAUACGACCUACGGGUGAAAGCAGGGGAUCUUCGGACCUUGCGCGAUUGAAUGAGCCGAUGUCGGAUUAGCUAGUUGGCGGGGUGAAGGCCCACCAAGGCGACGAUCCGUAGCUGGUCUGAGAGGAUGAUCAGCCACACUGGAACUGAGACACGGUCCAGACUCCUACGGGAGGCAGCAGUGGGGAAUAUUGGACAAUGGGCGCAAGCCUGAUCCAGCCAUACCGCGUGGGUGAAGAGGGCCUUCGGGUUGUAAAGCCCUUUUGUUGGGAAAGAAAAGCAGCAGGUUAAUACCCCGCUGUUCUGACGGUACCCAAAGAAUAAGCACCGGCUAACUUCGUG